RNAcentral lists this ribosomal RNA (249 nucleotides) under uncultured Staphylococcus sp. RNAcentral's name for it is "partial 16S ribosomal RNA". It matches the Rfam family "Bacterial small subunit ribosomal RNA", at positions 536 to 787 of the family's 1533-position model. Lineage: Bacteria; Bacillati; Bacillota; Bacilli; Caryophanales; Staphylococcaceae. The record is from RNAcentral.
AAGCGUUAUCCGGAAUUAUUGGGCGUAAAGCGCGCGUAGCGGUUUUUAAGUCUGAUGUGAAAGCCCACGGCUCAACCGUGGAGGGUCAUUGGAAACUGGAAAACUUGAGUGCAGAAGAGGAAAGUGGAAUCCAUGUGUAGCGGUGAAAUGCGCAGAGAUAUGGAGGAACACCAGUGGCGAAGGCGACUUUCUGGUCUGUAACUGACGCUGAUGUGCGAAAGCGUGGGGAUCAAACAGGAUUAGAUACCC